This 147-nucleotide ribosomal RNA is filed under the name Vibrio sp. V37_P2S8PM304. RNAcentral's name for it is "partial 23S ribosomal RNA". The stretch from base 1 to 129 matches the Rfam family "Bacterial large subunit ribosomal RNA", at positions 2802 to 2925 of the family's 2925-position model. The record is from RNAcentral. Lineage: Bacteria; Pseudomonadati; Pseudomonadota; Gammaproteobacteria; Vibrionales; Vibrionaceae.
AGAUGAGUCUUCCCUGGCACUUUAAGUGUCCUGAAGGGUUGUUCGAGACUAGAACGUUGAUAGGCAGGGUGUGUAAGCGUUGUGAGGCGUUGAGCUAACCUGUACUAAUUGCCCGUGAGGCUUAACCAUACAACACCCAAGGGGUUU